UACCAGCACCCCGAGUGGUCGGGACGAUUAUUGGGCCUAAAGCAUCCGUAGCCGGUUCUACAAGUCUUCCGUUAAAUCCACCUGCUUAACAGAUGGGCUGCGGAGGAUACUAUAGAGCUAGGAGGCGGGAGAGGCAAGCGGUACUUAGUGGGUAGGGGUAAAAUCCGUUGAUCCAUUGAAGACCACCAGUGGCGAAGGCGGCUUGCCAGAACGCACUCGACGGUGAGGGAUGAAAGCUGGGGGAGCAAACCGG
RNAcentral lists this ribosomal RNA (253 nucleotides) under uncultured bacterium. RNAcentral's name for it is "partial 16S ribosomal RNA". It matches the Rfam family "Archaeal small subunit ribosomal RNA", at positions 474 to 727 of the family's 1478-position model. RNAcentral also lists the same sequence under 2 other names. The record is from RNAcentral.